GAACGGGGUCCAACCGGUGGCAACACCGGUGAAGACCUAGUGGCGAACGGGUGAGUAACACGUGAGCAACCUGCCCCGAAGACUGGGAUAACACCGGGAAACCGGUGCUAAUACCGGAUACCCCUACCAGGUCGCAUGGCCUGGUAAGGAAAUGGAUUCCGCUUCGGGAGGGGCUCGCGGCCUAUCAGCUAGUUGGUGGGGUAACGGCCUACCAAGGCGCCGACGGGUAGCUGGUCUGAGAGGACGAUCAGCCACACUGGGACUGAGACACGGCCCAGACUCCUACGGGAGGCAGCAGUGGGGAAUCUUGCGCAAUGGGCGAAAGCCUGACGCAGCAACGCCGCGUGAGGGACGAAGGCCUUAUGGGUUGUAAACCUCUUUCAGCAGGGACGAUAAUGACGGUAUCUGCAGAAGAAGCCCCGGCCAACUACGUGCCAGCAGCCGCGGUCAU
RNAcentral lists this ribosomal RNA (451 nucleotides) under uncultured bacterium. Its description in RNAcentral is "bacterial SSU rRNA". It matches the Rfam family "Bacterial small subunit ribosomal RNA", at positions 64 to 524 of the family's 1533-position model. The record is from RNAcentral.